Molecule: transfer RNA, 87 nt
Filed under: Sphingomonas sp.
Lineage: Bacteria; Pseudomonadati; Pseudomonadota; Alphaproteobacteria; Sphingomonadales; Sphingomonadaceae
Description: tRNA-Leu
Rfam family: tRNA
About the family: Transfer RNA (tRNA) molecules are approximately 80 nucleotides in length. Their secondary structure includes four short double-helical elements and three loops (D, anti-codon, and T loops).
Source: RNAcentral
GCCCCUGUGGCGGAAUGGUAGACGCGCUCGACUCAAAAUCGAGUUCCUUUAACCGGAGUGUCCGUUCGAGUCGGACCAGGGGCACCA